RNAcentral lists this ribosomal RNA (567 nucleotides) under Allobates niputidea. RNAcentral's name for it is "partial 16S ribosomal RNA". It matches the Rfam family "Bacterial large subunit ribosomal RNA", at positions 1832 to 2598 of the family's 2925-position model. Lineage: Eukaryota; Metazoa; Chordata; Amphibia; Anura; Aromobatidae. The record is from RNAcentral.
CGCCUCCUGAUCAACCAUAGGAGGUCAAGCCUGCCCAGUGACAUUGUUCAACGGCCGCGGUAUCCUAACCGUGCGAAGGUAGCGUAAUCACUUGUUCUUUAAAUGAGGACUAGUAUGAAUGGCCCCACGAAGGCUAUACUGUCUCCUUUAUUCAAUCAGUAAAACUAAUCUCCCCGUGAAGAAGCGGGGAUUCACCUAUAAGACGAGAAGACCCUAUGGAGCUUCAGAUAUUCUAGACAUUUGAACUUUAUAUUACACCUUUCGAGUAUUUUUUAAACACAUCAUUUUGUCCUAAAUCUUGGGUUGGGGUGACCACGGAGAAAAAAAUAACCUCCACGUAGAAAGAAGUUUUUCUUCUAAGCAAAAAGCCACAUCUUUAUGCAUCAACAUAUUGACCUGAAUUGACCCAAUUAUUUGAUCAACGAACCAAGUUACCCUAGGGAUAACAGCGCAAUCCACUUUAAGAGCUCAUAUCGACAAGUGGGCUUACGACCUCGAUGUUGGAUCAGGGUGUCCUAGUGGUGCAGCAGCUACUAACGGUUCGUUUGUUCAACGAUUAAAACCCUA